RNAcentral lists this ribosomal RNA (1206 nucleotides) under uncultured prokaryote. RNAcentral's name for it is "partial 16S ribosomal RNA". It matches the Rfam family "Bacterial small subunit ribosomal RNA", at positions 161 to 1387 of the family's 1533-position model. The record is from RNAcentral.
CGGUAAUACCCGAUAAUCCCUCUUGGGCAAAGGCUUGCUGCCCCGGGAUCGGGCAAGGCGCUAUCAGCUUGUUGGUGAGGUAAAGGCUCACCAAGCCUUAGACGGGUAGCGGGUGUGAGAGCAUGACCCGCCGCAUCGGGACUGAGACACUGCCCGGACUCCUACGGGAGGCUGCAGCGACGAAUAUUCCGCAAUGCGCGAAAGCGUGACGGAGCAAUGCCGCGUGAAGGAUGAAGCCUCUCGGGGUGUAAACUUCUGUCGGUCUUAGAAAGUACUGAUCAGGACCAAAGGAAGGGCCGGCUAAGUUCGUGCCAGCAGCCGCGGUAAUACGAACGGCCCGAGCGUUAAUCGGAAUCACUGGGCUUAAAGCGUACGCAGGCGGACCAGAAAGUACCUUGUGAAAUCCCUCGGCUCAACCGAGGAACUGCUUGGUAUACUGCUGGUCUUGAGUGUGGUAGGGGCGGUCGGAACGAUAGGUGGAGCGGUGAAAUGCGUAGAUAUCUAUCGGAACGCCUAAGGCGAAGGCAGAUGGCUGGGCCGAUUCUGACGCUCAUGCACGAAAGCGUGGGGAGCGAACGGGAUUAGAUACCCCGGUAGUCCACGCCCUAAACGAUGUAAACUAGAUCGCAGAGACUCUGACGUCGUUGUGAUCGAAGCAAAAGUGUUAAGUUUACCGCCUGGGGAGUACGGUCGCAAGGCUAAAACUCAAAGGAAUUGACGGGGGCUCACACAAGCGGUGGAGCAUGUGGCUUAAUUCGAAUCAACGCGAAGAACCUUAUCCAGGGUUUGACAUGCACGGAUACCCUUUUCGAAAGAAGAGUAAGUUGCCCUUUGGGUGAAACGUGCACAGGUGCUGCAUGGCUGUCGUCAGCUCGUGCUGUGAAGUGUCGGGUUAAGUCCCUUAACGAGCGAAACCCCUAUCUUUUCUUUAGUUGCCAGCGAGUAAUGUCGGGGACUCUAGAGAGACUGCCGGUGUUAAACCGGAGGAAGGUGGGGAUGACGUCAAGUCCUCAUGGCCUUUAUGCCCUGGGCUGCACACGUGCUACAAUGCGGCGUACAGAGCGAAGCAAUAUCGUAAGGUGGAGCAAAUCGCACAAAGCGCCGCUCAGUUCGGAUUGUGGUCUGCAACUCGACCACAUGAAGCUGGAAUCGCUAGUAAUCGCGUAUCAGCUACGACGCGGUGAAUACGUUCCUGAGCCUUGUACA